UACGGGGGGGGCAAGCGUUGUUCGGAAUUACUGGGCGUAAAGGGCUCGUAGGCGGCCAACUAAGUCAGGCGUGAAAUCCCUCGGCUUAACCGGGGAACUGCGUCUGAUACUGGAUGGCUUGAGUUCGGGAGAGGGAUGUGGAAUUCCAGGUGUAGCGGUGAAAUGCGUAGAUAUCUGGAGGAACACCGGUGGCGAAGGCGGCAUCCUGGACCGACACUGACGCUGAGGCGCGAAAGCUAGGGGAGCAAACAGG
RNAcentral lists this ribosomal RNA (253 nucleotides) under uncultured bacterium. RNAcentral's name for it is "partial 16S ribosomal RNA". It matches the Rfam family "Bacterial small subunit ribosomal RNA", at positions 524 to 776 of the family's 1533-position model. The record is from RNAcentral.